GCCGGGUGGGGUGGCUCACGCCUGUAAUCCCAGCACUUUGGGAGGCUGAGGCAGAUGGAUCACCUGAGGUCAGGAGUUUGAGACCAGCCUGGCCAACAUGGUGAAACUCUGCCUCUA
RNAcentral lists this non-coding RNA (117 nucleotides) under Chlorocebus sabaeus (green monkey). Lineage: Eukaryota; Metazoa; Chordata; Mammalia; Primates; Cercopithecidae. The record is from Rfam by way of RNAcentral.